RNAcentral lists this ribosomal RNA (905 nucleotides) under uncultured bacterium. RNAcentral describes it as "bacterial SSU rRNA". It matches the Rfam family "Bacterial small subunit ribosomal RNA", at positions 51 to 946 of the family's 1533-position model. The record is from RNAcentral.
ACACAUGCAAGUCGAGGGGAAACGGCAUCAAGCGCUUGCGCCUGAUGGACGUCGACCGGCGCACGGGUGAGUAACGCGUAUCCAACCUGCCCCACACUGAGGGAUAACCCGCAGAAAUGUGGACUAAUACCUUAUAUUUUCCACCAAGGGCAUCGUCGAUGGAACAAAGAUUUAUCGGUAUGGGAUGGGGAUGCGUCCGAUUAGGUUGUUGGCGAGGUAACGGCCCACCAAGCCUUCGAUCGGUAGGGGUUCUGAGAGGAAGGUCCCCCACAUAGGAACUGAGACACGGUCCUAACUCCUACGGGAGGCAGCAGUGAGGAAUAUUGGUCAAUGGGCGAUAGCCUGAACCAGCCAAGUAGCGUGCAGGAAGACGGCCCUAUGGGUUGUAAACUGCUUUUAUGCGGGGAUAAAGGAGUCCACGUGUGGAUUUUUGCAGGUACCGCAUGAAUAAGGACCGGCUAAUUCCGUGCCAGCAGCCGCGGUAAUACGGAAGGUCCGGGCGUUAUCCGGAUUUAUUGGGUUUAAAGGGAGCGUAGGCCGCGUUUUAAGCGUGUUGUGAAAUGUAGACGCCCAACGUCUGCAUCGCAGCGCGAACUGGGACGCUUGAGUACGCGCAACGUUGGCGGAAUUCGUCGUGUAGCGGUGAAAUGCUUAGAUAUGACGAGGAACUCCGAUUGCGAAGGCAGCUGACGGGAGCGGCACUGACGCUUAAGCUCGAAGGUGCGGGUAUCAAACAGGAUUAGAUACCCUGGUAGUCCGCACAGUAAACGAUGGAUGCCCGCUGUGUGCCAUUUAUGGUACGCGGCUAAGCGAAAGCGUUAAGCAUCCCACCUGGGGAGUACGCCGGCAACGGUGAAACUCAAAGGAAUUGACGGGGGCCCGCACAAGCGGAGGAACAUGUGGUU